This 465-nucleotide ribosomal RNA is filed under the name uncultured bacterium. RNAcentral's name for it is "partial 16S ribosomal RNA". It matches the Rfam family "Bacterial small subunit ribosomal RNA", at positions 28 to 507 of the family's 1533-position model. The record is from RNAcentral.
GACGAACGCUGGCGGCGUGCUUAACACGUGCAAGUCGAACGGAAAGGCCCUGCUUGCUGGGUACUCGAGUGGCGAACGGGUGAGUAACACGUAGGUGAUCUGCCCUGCACUUCGGGAUAAGCCUGGGAAACUGGGUCUAAUACCGGAUAGGAGCCAUUUUUAGUGUGAUGGUUGGAAAGUUUUUUCGGUGUAGGAUGAGCUCGCGGCCUAUCAGCUUGUUGGUGGGGUAAUGGCCUACCAAGGCGGCGACGGGUAGCCGGCCUGAGAGGGUGGACGGCCACAUUGGGACUGAGAUACGGCCCAGACUCCUACGGGAGGCAGCAGUGGGGAAUAUUGCACAAUGGGCGCAAGCCUGAUGCAGCGACGCCGCGUGGGGGAUGACGGCCUUCGGGUUGUAAACUCCUUUCGCUAGGGACGAAGCUUUUUGUGACGGUACCUAGAUAAGAAGCACCGGCUAACUACGUG